RNAcentral lists this ribosomal RNA (253 nucleotides) under uncultured bacterium. RNAcentral describes it as "partial 16S ribosomal RNA". It matches the Rfam family "Bacterial small subunit ribosomal RNA", at positions 524 to 776 of the family's 1533-position model. The record is from RNAcentral.
GACAGAGGGUGCAAACGUUGCUCGGAAUUACUGGGCGUAAAGCGCGUGUAGGCGGGUCGGAAAGUCGGGCGUGAAAUCCCCAGGCUCAACCUGGGAACUGCACUCGAAACUUCCGGUCUAGAGUGGUGGAGAGGGAAGUGGAAUUCCUGGUGUAGAGGUGAAAUUCGUAGAUAUCAGGAGGAACACCAGUGGCGAAGGCGGCUUCCUGGACACCAACUGACGCUGAGGAGCGAAAGCGUGGGGAGCGAACAGG